This 4736-nucleotide long non-coding RNA is filed under the name Panax ginseng (ginseng). Its description in RNAcentral is "long non-coding RNA (PGIN_LNC013656)". Lineage: Eukaryota; Viridiplantae; Streptophyta; Magnoliopsida; Apiales; Araliaceae. The record is from RNAcentral.
CACCAAAACAUCAAGCUAGUUGGUACUAAUUUCAAGAAAUUUCGACAGAGUUCCCAUUAAAAAUAGAUAUCCAAAAAAUUUUAAACCUGUCUAACAAAACUUACAAUAAUCAAUACAUAUCCAAAUCACCAAAAAAACAAUCAUUCCACACCCAAAAAUCAUAAUAACUAUGUAUAAUUAGUUAACUUUACAAAAUAUGGAACCAAAAAUAUACAAACAUGCAGAAAAUAGAUAAACAUGUUAAGCAUAAGACCCAUUACUUCAUAGCUUACUCUAAGUAUUCUUUAAAGCUUACACCACGUAUCCUUCAAUGUAUACCUGAAAAUAUUUGAAAUAUAAAAAUUAUUGAAAUAUAUGAGUCAAAAUAAAACAACUAUAAAUCCGAAACAUAAGAACCCAUAUUUGAAAUAUAUGAGUCAAAAUUAUCGAAAUAUAUGAGUCAAAAUUAUCGAAAUAUUUGAAAUAUGAGCACACACAUAUUUACUUUAUGAACAACGCAAUGUUCUGAAAGACCUCCUCACCUUAUAUAUUAUUCCAGUACUUGGUCCUAAUAAAAAUUUUGAGAAAAGAUAUCACUACCUGAUCCUCAACCUUCAUAUUCUUUGAGAAAAGAUUGGUAGCAUGACAUUCUUUAGUCAAAGGUCGCAAACCCCUGUAGUAGCAAAAGAAAAAUGAUAUACAAACCACUCAAUUUGACUACUGUCAUAAGUUUCUCUCUCCCAUUUUCUCUACCUGAAGUAAUUUUUAGAAUUUUGAAUAAACUGAUAUUAAUGAGAAGGUUCGACUGUGCUAUUCUCCAUUAAGACUCAGUUCAAAGCUUUAGCCUUUGUUUGAAUUUCUGGAUCCUAAGACAGUCUCAGACACUCAUUUUAAUUGGUUUACAUAAUUAAAAAAAUUAUUUUUCCUUUUGAUAAUAAAAAAAGAAGCAUGAUGGAGAUGGAGAUGAAGAUAUAAAUGACAUCAAAACGAUUAAACCAGCCGAUUUCUACUGACCUGACCAGUAUCCUUUAAUUCUCCUUUGAAAACUUUGUUAAAUCCUCAUUAGCAACGACAAACUGAUCUACAUCCUUUGACUCGUCCUUCUUCCCAUUCUCAUUUGAGAUAGCUUUCAAUGUAUCUAAAUCAUGUAAGGAUUAAAAAAUAAACAUGAAGGAGAGAGAAUUACCUAAUAAAAGAUACAAAAUGCACAUGGUGAGUAAAGAUAGACCACUAUGAUUCUCACAAAAAGAGCAAAAGUAUGAUUACAACUAUUAGAGAACCCCUAAAGCAUAGAAAGAACCCAAAAAAAGGUACACAAUUCAUAGAACUCAUAAGAAAUAAUUUCUCAAAACAUUAAGGUUGAACACAUCUAAAAAGUCUAAGUAACAAUUUGAUGGCAGACUACAAACUUCUCAAAUAUUCAUUGCUAAGGGUCCUACAAAGUAUCAUGGAACACUAUCAAUUCAAGAGGAUAGUUUAACCAGUUUCUUUCAAUAAAAUUUGUUAGUGAUGUUGGGUUAUGAGUUACCAGUGCUUUUCUUUUCCAUAUCGAGCAAGAAAUAAAUACAUAUGAGAAUAUGCCAAACACAUGGGACUUAGUUCAAGUUUUCCUCACUCUAUCCCAUACUUAUCAAAGGUUAAAUUCUCGUGUAUGCUACAUAUGAGAAUAGCUAUGCAAUCAAUUUAAAAUUAUGCAUAAGUUUUGGGCCAACGAAGUGCACAAGGUAUGAGAAUGUUUUUUAUGAUAUAAGUAGAAGACUGAAACAAAUAAUUUCAACUUCCUCUCCCAUUUGCAACUAAAAAAAAAGGCAUGUACACAUAAAAGGUAAAAACUCAGUACUCCAUAUUUUGGACACCGGAUGCAUAUUCACACCACGCCUGGUACUCCAUCACACGCUAAUCAAACCCAUACUGAAGAGAAAGAGAGACAGAUAAAACCCUUGAGUGGAAAUUCCCAACAACAAAAAAUUCAAACUAAAACAAAAUAAAACAGGAAAAAUAAGAACAUGUAAGAAAAAGAAAGAUCAAUUCAUAAUCACAAACCCAGCAGAAAAGAACCCCUCUCUUCUUCAAAUACCCACCAAAAAUUAAAAUCAGAUAGAGAAAAGAACGUUGCCGCUUUCUGCGAUAAUGAUCAAAAAUGAAGAAUCCCCUGCAACUUGAUUUUGGGAAAUCUUUGUAUUGGAUUUAAACAACUUUCUCUCUCCUCAAAAUUAAGGAAAUGCACAGCGGGAUAAGGAGAAGGCGGAAUGAGAAGGGGGAAGAGGUAUAAGGCGGGACUUGGGCAGAUUGUAGGGGGAAUUUUGAAUUGGGAAUUUUUGAAUUGGGAAAAGGUAUGAGAAUGUUUUUUGUGAAAUGAAAUAAUUAAGAUUAAAUUUGAGUCAUUGGAUGAUGAAGUUUUAAUCGAGACCGUUGUUUGUUGAAGCCGCUCUGUUUUAUUAUAUAGAUUUUGAAACCUAAUUUAUAGUAAUAUAUUAGUAGAUAUUCAUACUUGUCCAUUAUAUAUGGUUACGUUUAUGCCUUUACCUAGUAGCUCAUCAACCUGGUAUAUAUGAUUACUUGACCAAUUUGGCAUCGUGCAACAGAUUUAUGCCUACCUCUUGACGUUGCAAGAAUGGAUUAAUCAGAACAUAUAUGAUACCUCCUAGACUCUUCAGAUGAAAGCAAACUAUAAAUUUUUACUAACGAUCUGCAUUUGUGGACACUCCCUUUGUUGUUUCCUUUUCCUCCUCAGAACAAAUGACAGAGAACCUUUAUAACUAUUAAUUGAUUUAUAUUCAACUUCAAAUGACACGAUCAACAAUGCCACAACUUAGGUUCAGCUCUGGAUCAUUCAAACCACUUCACUUCUUUUCAAUGAACUAUUUUUAGAAGAGAAAAAUUACUUGAAAAAAUUACUUGGAAGUUAUCUACAGCACAUGUCUUACUGAUUAGCCACCUUCACCCAACAUUGGAGGUCCAAUCUUAUAACAGGGCUUUCCUAAUGGAUGCCAAAACCACAGAUCCUAUUAUAAAAUAAAAGAACUGUUUCGAUUGAACAGACUCUGAUGAAUCUGGCCUUCAGCUCAAUCUGCCUUUUCAGACAUAUAGAGACCAUCUUCAUAGAUAAGUUACUUCAAAACUUAGAAUCUCAACAUUACCAAUUGAACAUAAUCUAAUCAAACAAAUAACACUCAAUGAUGUAAUCCAACCGUACCAAGGCUCCUUAAAAGUCCAUCUAAAGGCAUUUCAAAGCUCAUACCAGCAUUCCAAAAAAGUCACAAACAAAGAGAGAUAAUUAAUAUAUUAAUCAGCGAUGGAGAAAAAGAAAAGAGAGACAGAAAUAAUAAUAGAAAACAGCACCACAUAGGCACAUAUACUAAAUCAACAUAACAUAAACAAAAAACAAAGUGUAUUCAUCAUACACUUUAGUACUAAUCUCAUACAUUUACAAAUGAAAAUACAAUAAAGUCCUUAUGUCAUGCAGAUUACUGAGAAAGCUAUGCAGGUCAUGUAGGUUCACAGUUCUCCAGUUUUUAACAAUAAAAUAACACAAACCCAAAUUUCACUCAUUUAUCUCAUCUGAAUUCUCUACAAAAAAUGACAAUUAAUAAUCACACAUAAUCUAAAAAAAUGAAAAAUAAAAUUUUACUGAGUCAACACAAAAAACAAAAAACAAAGUGGGGUAAAAAAACUAAACAAAAUUUCAAUUUUCAGCUUAAUUUUUCACCUCUCAAAAAAGAAAAUUAUAAUCAUUUAUGCUCUCAAAAAUGAAAAUGAGUUCAUACUUUUACCCAUAAAUAUCUAUAUAUAUACACACACACACACAUAUCAAUCACAUAAUAAAUAAACCCAGGUAUAAAUUUUUUUUAUUAAACUUUUUCCUCCAAAUUUUGAGGGUAUACAACAGGAAUCAUUCAAUCUUUGUAGGAUUGAUGCACAAUUAUGAACAUAAAAACCAAAUUCCAAUUAUACGCAUUAACCAACCAGAAAAGGAGAAGUAUAAUCAUCAUCCAAGAUAUAAAAAGUAAAAACUAAAAAAUGAAGAAAAGAGGGGACCUGAGCGUCCAUAAUUUUGCCAAAACAGACAAUCCUCCGACAUAUAUACGAUAAUCUUGUGGUUCCUUCCCAGCCAAUUCAAAUUAAUUAAUCGCAGCUUGAACUUAAUAAAUUGACAACGAAAAAACACGAUUUAAACACAAAUUAAUCCAAAACAAUUUGAAAUACGAAAGGACACUAAUUGUUGAAGAAGUGAAUCCAAUUUAUAGAUAAAAUGUUCUAUUUUCGAGCAAAUUUCAGAUACAAAUUCAGAAGAAAUGUUGGGUUGAGAUGAAAAAAUGAUUAAAUGGAGGUAAAAAGGAAUUGGGUUUUGAGGGGAUUUACCAUUUCUGGUGAGGAGAGAGGUCAUUGUCGUUGUAGGUGGUAGAAGCCAUUAAUGAAGUUGUUGAGCUUCUUUCUUCUCCUUCUUCGAAAGGGUAUACUGAAACAAAGAGGGGUUUUGAUUUGGGCCUUUUUGGAGGAGAGUACAAUGGAAGGAGGUGAGACUUGGGUAGUGUAGGGGGUUUUAAUUUGGGCAUUUUUUUUUGUUUAUGAAAUGAAAUCUGACCCUUAAGAUUAGGUUAGAUGAAAUCUGAGCUCUUGUUUGUUGAAGCCGCUCUGUUUUAUUAUAUAGAUAAUUCAUGAUCACCACUUAAACAGGCUUCCACGAAAAUCAUAUAUUAAUAUACUAUAAGUGAUUCAUAAUCACGUGAUCCUGCUAUGUAUCAGCUUUAAAAAAG